Molecule: ribosomal RNA, 35 nt
Filed under: uncultured Glomus
Lineage: Eukaryota; Fungi; Glomeromycota; Glomeromycetes; Glomerales; Glomeraceae
Description: partial 18S ribosomal RNA
Source: RNAcentral
CGGGUUUCCGUAGGUGAACCUGCGGAAGGAUCAUU